CCCAGGCUGACUUUUUACUGGCUGUGGUUGUCUUUGUGAUGACAAUGUUGAGACCGAUCUCCUUCCACCCACACUCAUUAAGUGAGAUUGGCGGCAUCAUAACUUCGCCUGCUUUCAAUGCUGGAAGGCAAUUGGACGCUUGUGAUGAAGGCUACUUGGUUCAGCCCAAUCGACAUGCUCACAGUAGAUGCCCCCGUAGAGAGGAUACACCGAAAAGAAAGAUGUGGAGGGGUGUUACUGCUGACAAUGGGAUGGAGAAAUGGAGACGGUGGAAGAGGAAGAUGGAACCAUAAAAGGCUGUCUCGGUGAGAAAAGGUUCAUCAUUUUGCUCUCCAUUUCAUCUCACGGUGCUAUAAAAGAGAGAUGAAAUCAGAAGGCUGUCAGGUAAAGGAGAGUAAAACCUUUUGCCUCGUCGCUGAAAUGGACCGAGGAGAGAAAUGGAGAGGUAGAGCGCCCUGCUUCACUUCUCCUUCACAGCAAAAGCUCUUGACUGUCAAGAGAACAAAAACACCUUGCAUCAGGGUUUUACAGGCCGAGUCUUUCAAAGUGGUUUGAAGCCUUUAUUGGAGCACAGUCAGCUUUUAGCAGAGAUUCAGGGGGAAAUGUUCUUUAUGAACUGGGUUAAAUGGCGACAUACAAAGAAGGGCCAUUUUUUUUUAUUUCCAAACGAUUCUGAAAUGCAAGAAAAUCGAGAUAAACCGGUUAUUGUGCCACAGUGAUGAUGUCGCAGUGAUGCUCUCAUUUUGUCUCAUGUUAUAAAUCCAGCACACCCCUUUCCUUCACAGCUGUGUGCUUUCACUGCUCCCUAAAAGGCCAAACUCCCCGUCAGCCAGGCAGUGGCAUGUGUAGUUCAGCUCAAGAUGACGGAGAGAGACUCGUUGGUCGACAGUCGUGUUAAAUAAUUGUAAUCUCAGUAUUGACCAAAAUAAUUAUGAUCGCAUGGUUUUUUUGCCCUAAUUUAAUGUAUGUAUUAUCCUUUCUCCUGUCGAGGUGAAAACCACAGCAGGACUGGUUUGCUCUGAUAUAACCAACCAGUUGAGAUUUCUAUCAACCACCUGGUGUUAAAUGAUAAUUUGAGGCAUGUCUUAAAACAAUACUUAGACAUAUGUACAUUGAAACAUACCGUUUGUACUGACUGGGAAGAAAUCCCCUUUCAUUGUUGUCAAUGUGCAUAAUGGAAGAAUAAUUCCACAGUUUGGUUUGCUGUUCUCCACCACAAAAGUUUAACCAAAUGUAAUUUGAGGCUUCAACAAUUGCAAUGAGUCAAAUUAAGUAGAUGUCUUCCAAGUGUUUUUUUUUAAUUUUGCAUUAAAAC
This 1315-nucleotide long non-coding RNA is filed under the name Dicentrarchus labrax (European seabass). RNAcentral's name for it is "lncRNA (ENSDLAG00005027757.1)". The record is from RNAcentral. Lineage: Eukaryota; Metazoa; Chordata; Actinopteri; Moronidae.